AUGGCGCCUAAUGGUGACGCGGCGGUGGCGGCGGCGGCGGAGGCGGUGCCGAUGGGGCGGCCGAGGCAGCAGCCGAAGCCGCGGAGGAUCUCGAUGGAGGGGCUCCAGCGCGCCAUGUCCGACCUGGCCCUGGAGUUCACCAAGAAGGCGGCCGUGUUGGACGCGGCGGCCAGGCUGCCGGCGGUGUCGGAGCAGGUGGACGACGCGCGCUGCGAGUGCUGCGGCAUGACGGAGGAGUGCUCGGCCGAGUACGUGCGGCGCGUGCGGGAGCGGUACUGCGGGCAGUGGGUGUGCGGGCUGUGCGCGGCGGCGGUGACCGACGAGGCGGACAGGAGCCGGAGCACGACGGAGGAGGCGCUGGCCGCGCACAUCGCCGUGUGCGGGCGGUUCAACCGCCUGGGGCGCGCCAACCCGGUGCUCAUGCAGACGGAGGCCAUGAGGGAGAUCUUCAGAAAGAGGGGCAAGUCCAACAGCCCCAGGGACAGCGCGCGUGCCGGUGGCCUCUCCAGGAGUUCCAGCUGCAUGUCUGCCAUCACCAAGGACCUCAACUGUGCCAUGAAAAAAUAG
Molecule: ribosomal RNA, 567 nt
Filed under: Triticum aestivum (bread wheat)
Lineage: Eukaryota; Viridiplantae; Streptophyta; Magnoliopsida; Poales; Poaceae
Description: partial small subunit ribosomal RNA
Source: RNAcentral